UCAGGAAUCCUGGCAUGAGACAAGGAGAAAUGCUGGAAUACUAAUUCUCUGGUGCAAAGCUCUUCAUCCUGACACUUCUGCUAAGUUGUGGCUAAGCAGUGAACAUUGGAGAUGCAAAUGUCACAGUGAAUUGUAUCUGGGCAGUGGGUGCUGGUUGAGGAGGAGACAUUCAGAAUGCAAUUUUCGUCAGAUGACAAAGCAGACAAACAGCUCCAGUUACAGAGCAGGCAGCACUGUGCUGACUUCAGGGAGCUGCUGGUAUGAGAAGGUGGUGGUGUCUGUUCUGCUGGAGAUGUAAGAGUGCUGUCAUGAAACCCUAACAGGAAGGCUCAGGAAGUUGAUUGCUUUGCAGAGAAAAUGGAAACUUUUUUCCAGUUCAACAGAUGAACUAAAAAUUUCUAUCUCCUCGUCUGGUUCAGUGUCCUAGUUCUGCAAUCCCUAAUAUAAGGUGAGGAACAGGAAAGAGGUAAGUCAGUUAAGAUGCCCUAAAUCUCCCCCUCUCAAAUCAACCAAACAUCAUAGUUCAGCAAAAUUUCUCUGUACUUGGCUGUGUGGAGGAAGAAAUCAGACCUCAGAAAUUUAUCAGCUAAGAGAAUGGUUGUGAGCCCUAUCUGCCAGUCUGCCCUCCAGUAUGAAAGAGACUACAGCAUAUCUCUCAGUUUACCCCUGAAAACAGCAUGGCCCAAAUAAAGCAACGCCAGUUAUAUUAUCAGGAAUAUAUUACUAGAGCCAUUAAACUUCUCUAGGUAAACCAUCCAACAGAGGAUUCAUAAGGAGGAGUCUCUUGAAGGUAAACACAAAACUAUAUCCAGUUGAAGCCAUCAUUAUUCACCAGUUUCUAUGCUUUCCAAGUCCCUGAUAUAUUUUCUGUUCCACCUCAGGAAGUUGUAUUUGUUAACUCUACCGGAAAUACUUACAGCCUC
Molecule: long non-coding RNA, 923 nt
Organism: Tympanuchus pallidicinctus (lesser prairie-chicken)
Lineage: Eukaryota; Metazoa; Chordata; Aves; Galliformes; Phasianidae
Exons: 4
Source: RefSeq, a predicted model, not a curated record